AACGUCGCAAGACAGUUCGGUCCCUAUCUGUGGUGGGCGUUAGUAAAUUGAGUGGACAUGACCUUAGUACGAGAGGACCGGGUCGUACGUACCGCUGGUGUAUCUGUUGUGCCGCCAGGUGCAAUGCAGAGUAGCUAUGUACGGACAGGAUAAACGCUGAAAGCAUCUAAGCGUGAAACCUUCCACAAGAUGAGUUUACUUUUAAGGGUCGUCGCAGACUACGACGUUGAUAGGCUACAGGUCUAAAGGUGGUAACAUCAAAGCCGAGUAGUACUAAUUGCCCGUAAGCUUUAAUUUUUUUAAU
Molecule: ribosomal RNA, 304 nt
Filed under: Sphingobacteriales bacterium 44-15
Lineage: Bacteria; Pseudomonadati; Bacteroidota; Sphingobacteriia; Sphingobacteriales
Description: partial 23S ribosomal RNA
Rfam family: Bacterial large subunit ribosomal RNA
Source: RNAcentral